CGCAUCUGUGCAUGCAGCAUAUCAAUAAGCGGAGGAAAAGAAACUAACAAGGAUUCCCCUAGUAACGGCGAGUGAAGCGGGAAGAGCUCAAAUUUGAAAUCUUAAAGGGUUUCCCUUUACGAAUUGUAGUUUAAAGAAGUGUUUUCUGUUAGUGAGUUGGCUAAAAGUUCUUUGGAAUAGGACAUCAUAGAGGGUGAGAAUCCCGUAUUUGACCUUUACUUUCAACUUUGUGAUACACUUUCAAAGAGUCGGAUUGUUUGGGAAUGCAGUCCAAAAUGGGUGGUAAAUUUCAUCUAAAGCUAAAUAUUGGCGAGAGACCGAUAGCGAACAAGUACCGUGAGGGAAAGAUGAAAAGAACUUUGAAAAGAGAGUUAAACAGUACGUGAAAUUGUCAAAAGGGAAGCGUUUGACACCAGUGUUGUUUUUCUGAAAAUCAAUUAAAGAACUGUUUAUGCUAAGUUGUUUAGACUUUAUCAGCUAACUGUUUAGUUUUGAGCUUUUCUUUAAUGCACUUUUCAGUUAACAAGUCAACAUCAAUUUCUUUUGCUGUAAAAAAGCUUGAGGAAGGUGGCUUGAGAUUCGUCUUAAGUGUUUAUAGCCUCUUGCCUAUGCAGUCGGAGAGAUUGAGGUCUGCAGCGUAGAUCCUUCGGGGCUAAAUGCAUUUGUGCUAAGUUAUAACAUUUUAUAGACAACUUGUUGACUAUGAUUUGUCUUGUAGCUUACUCGCUUAUGUUAUUUUACCUACGCUUAGGAUGUUGAGCGCAUGUCUCUCUCU
RNAcentral lists this ribosomal RNA (775 nucleotides) under uncultured Neocallimastigales. RNAcentral's name for it is "partial large subunit ribosomal RNA". It matches the Rfam family "Eukaryotic large subunit ribosomal RNA", at positions 26 to 616 of the family's 3401-position model. The record is from RNAcentral. Lineage: Eukaryota; Fungi; Neocallimastigomycota; Neocallimastigomycetes; Neocallimastigales.